This 425-nucleotide ribosomal RNA is filed under the name Klebsiella michiganensis. RNAcentral describes it as "bacterial SSU rRNA". It matches the Rfam family "Bacterial small subunit ribosomal RNA", at positions 1 to 430 of the family's 1533-position model. RNAcentral also lists the same sequence under 2 other names. The record is from RNAcentral. Lineage: Bacteria; Pseudomonadati; Pseudomonadota; Gammaproteobacteria; Enterobacterales; Enterobacteriaceae.
AAGAGUUUGAUCAUGGCUCAGAUUGAACGCUGGCGGCAGGCCUAACACAUGCAAGUCGAACGGUAGCACAGAGAGCUUGCUCUCGGGUGACGAGUGGCGGACGGGUGAGUAAUGUCUGGGAAACUGCCUGAUGGAGGGGGAUAACUACUGGAAACGGUAGCUAAUACCGCAUAACGUCGCAAGACCAAAGAGGGGGACCUUCGGGCCUCUUGCCAUCAGAUGUGCCCAGAUGGGAUUAGCUAGUAGGUGGGGUAACGGCUCACCUAGGCGACGAUCCCUAGCUGGUCUGAGAGGAUGACCAGCCACACUGGAACUGAGACACGGUCCAGACUCCUACGGGAGGCAGCAGUGGGGAAUAUUGCACAAUGGGCGCAAGCCUGAUGCAGCCAUGCCGCGUGUAUGAAGAAGGCCUUCGGGUUGUAAAG